CCCCUCUCAUGAUGGCACCUGGAGAGUUUCCAGUACACAACCAGUCUCGGCUACUGGAGGGAGAGUCAAGCAGAGGCCUACCCAUUCCAUUCCUAGCUUGGGCAGUGGCUAGCGAGGGGAAGGCCAUCUGCUACAAAU
This 138-nucleotide small nucleolar RNA is filed under the name Ornithorhynchus anatinus (platypus). The record is from RNAcentral. Lineage: Eukaryota; Metazoa; Chordata; Mammalia; Monotremata; Ornithorhynchidae.